RNAcentral lists this ribosomal RNA (487 nucleotides) under Armadillo officinalis (oak-woodland pillbug). RNAcentral describes it as "partial large subunit ribosomal RNA". It matches the Rfam family "Bacterial large subunit ribosomal RNA", at positions 1797 to 2619 of the family's 2925-position model. The record is from RNAcentral. Lineage: Eukaryota; Metazoa; Arthropoda; Malacostraca; Isopoda; Armadillidae.
CGCCUGUUUAACAAAAACAUCUCCUAAUUUAUAUUAGGUAGAACCUGCUCACUGAAUCUUUUAAAAGCCGCAGUAUCCUAACUGUGCUAAGGUAGCAUAAUCAUUUGUUAUCUAAAUGAUAACUAGUAUGAAUGGUCUGACGAGAAAACAACUUUCUAAAAAGAAAAGAUGAAAAUUUAUUUUAAAGUAAAAAAGCUUUACAACUUUAGAAAGACGAGAAGACCCUAGAACCUAUUCUAUCUAUAUAGUUUGUUGGGGUGACAUUAUUCAAUAACAAAUAACUAUUAAAACUUAUUGACUGACUACAUCUAUCUUUUAUUAAAAAAAAAAAGGUACUCUAGGGAUAACAGCAUAAUCUUCUUCUAGAGCCCUAAUCGACAAGAAAGAUUUUGACCUCGAUGUUGAAUUGAUAUUUCUUUCUAAAGCAAAUUUUUUAAAGAGGGUCUGUUCGACCUCUAACUUAUCACGUGAUCUGAGUUCAAACCGG